GCCAGCUCGCCCUGAUCUCGAAGCAGCGGUUUCCUAAACCGUGUGUCGCAGGUUCGAUUCCUGCCGGGGGCACCA
Molecule: transfer RNA, 75 nt
Filed under: Actinomycetota bacterium
Lineage: Bacteria; Bacillati; Actinomycetota
Description: Actinobacteria bacterium tRNA-Arg
Rfam family: tRNA (bases 14-72)
About the family: Transfer RNA (tRNA) molecules are approximately 80 nucleotides in length. Their secondary structure includes four short double-helical elements and three loops (D, anti-codon, and T loops).
Source: RNAcentral